GACGAGGGAUCCUAGCGUUGUUCGGAAUCAGUUGGGACGUAAAGCGGGUGUAGGUGGGUCUUCUAAGUCAGAUAGUCGAAAGUCCCAGGGCCUCGAAACCCUGGAAGUGUCAUUUGAUACUGGAAGUCUUGAGUGUGGUAGAGGUUACUGGAAUUGUUGGUGUAGUGGUGAAAUACGUAGAUAUCAACAGGAAUACCGGAGGCGAAGGCGAGUAA
Molecule: ribosomal RNA, 215 nt
Filed under: uncultured bacterium
Lineage: Bacteria
Description: partial 16S ribosomal RNA
Rfam family: Bacterial small subunit ribosomal RNA
Source: RNAcentral